This 497-nucleotide ribosomal RNA is filed under the name uncultured bacterium. RNAcentral describes it as "partial 16S ribosomal RNA". It matches the Rfam family "Bacterial small subunit ribosomal RNA", at positions 28 to 507 of the family's 1533-position model. The record is from RNAcentral.
GACGAACGCUGGCGGCGUGCCUAAUACAUGCAAGUUGAGCGCUGAAGGUUGGUACUUGUACCGACUGGAUGAGCAGCGAACGGGUGAGUAACGCGUGGGGAAUCUGCCUUUGAGCGGGGGACAACAUUUGGAAACGAAUGCUAAUACCGCAUAAAAACUUUAAACAUAAGUUUUAAGUUUGAAAGAUGCAAUUGCAUCACUCAAAGAUGAUCCCGCGUUGUAUUAGCUAGUUGGUGAGGUAAAGGCUCACCAAGGCGAUGAUACAUAGCCGACCUGAGAGGGUGAUCGGCCACAUUGGGAGUGAGACACGGCCCAAACGCCUACGGGAGGCAGCAGUAGGGAAUCUUCGGCAAUGGACGAAAGACUGACCGAGCAACGCCGCGGGAGUGAAGAAGGUUGUCGGAUCGUAAAACUCGGUUGGUAGGGAAGAACGUUGGUGAGAGUGGAAAGCUCAUCAAGUGACGGUAACUACCCAGAAAGGGACGGCUAACUACGUG